RNAcentral lists this ribosomal RNA (427 nucleotides) under uncultured bacterium. Its description in RNAcentral is "bacterial SSU rRNA". It matches the Rfam family "Bacterial small subunit ribosomal RNA", at positions 355 to 774 of the family's 1533-position model. The record is from RNAcentral.
UGGGGAAUUUUGGACAAUGGGCGCAAGCCUGAUCCAGCCAUGCCGCGUGCAGGAUGAAGGCCUUCGGGUUGUAAACUGCUUUUGUACGGAACGAAAAGGUGCCUUCUAAUCAAGGGCGCUCAUGACGGUACCGUAAGAAUAAGCACCGGCUAACUACGUGCCAGCAGCCGCGGUAAUACGUAGGGUGCGAGCGUUAAUCGGAAUUACUGGGCGUAAAGCGUGCGCAGGCGGUUUUGUAAGACAGAGGUGAAAUCCCCGGGCUCAACCUGGGAACUGCCUUUGUGACUGCAAGGCUGGGGUGCGGCAGAGGGGGAUGGAAUUCCGCGUGUAGCAGUGAAAUGCGUAGAUAUGCGGAGGAACACCGAUGGCGAAGGCAAUCCCCUGGGCCUGCACUGACGCUCAUGCACGAAAGCGUGGGGAGCAAACA